RNAcentral lists this long non-coding RNA (1847 nucleotides) under Nicotiana benthamiana. Its description in RNAcentral is "long non-coding RNA (NBEN_LNC006052)". The record is from RNAcentral. Lineage: Eukaryota; Viridiplantae; Streptophyta; Magnoliopsida; Solanales; Solanaceae.
ACGGUCUCUCUUAGCUCCCUAACAAACGCUCUCCCUUCUCUCUAGAACCUUCUGGUUCCUAAUUCUCCGAUGAAGCUCGUCGCCUCUCCGACCAUACUCCUCCCUCACUUCUCUCGAUCUCUAGUCACCAUGGAACCCCCAUCUUGCUGUUUCUCUCUUAAAUUUGAAGCCCAGAAGCUUCUGCCAUGAAAGACGGUUGCUGAAGCUUUUCCUGGGGUCUGUCGCCGGCUUUUCUCCGGUGGGUUUUUGUCCGAUGAUGCCUUCUAUGGCAUUACUAAUGAGUUUCACGACCAGGUUUCUCAUUUCCCUUAUUUAUUUUGCAACCUAAGGUUUUGCCCAAAUCUCUUAAACCUGUGUCUUCUUACGCGAUUUCCGAUUUAAUCUUUGUUUUAUACACUACUUUUCACUCGAUAUCUUUGAUUAAUUCAAGUUUUCAAAUGUUUUGUUCCUCUUUUCAGAACUAGGGUUUGUGAACCCUUUUUUUUUAAUUAUUAGGCUUUUGUUUCUUUGGGAAUUAUGUGAUUAUUCCUAUGAUUUUUCUUGAAAGCUUGUUGUUGCUGAGUUCCAUGCUUGAUGUCUCUUCUAGGGCUCCGACCCUCUACUGUUUGUAUGAUUCCUUGCUUGGGGUUUUUAAUUUCUACGACCUUUUAAGUUCGAAUGCCUUUCUCUUUAUUGAAUAUCCUAUUAGUUCCGAGUAUCUUGUUUGAAUCCCUGAUUCGUAUGUGUUAUUACAUUGAUUUCAAAUUAUUUCCUUAUUUGUGAGUUGAUUUCUGUGUUUGGGAUUAAUUCCCUCUAAUUUUGGUCUUGCCCAGGAUUCUUUGAUUGACUGUUUAUAGUUGAUUUAUAUUGCUUGCCAUAUUUGUGCACUUGAGUAUAUUUUGGUUAUUCAGCAUAUAUUUUCCUUGUUUGAAGUACUGUGUACCUAGCUUUUAUUAUGUACAGCAUGCCUACUGCUUUCAUUAUGGUAUAAUAAGUUAUUCAACUGAUUUUUCCAUAAUUUGAUAGCACGUACUCCUAUUCGAAUCAUGAGUCUCUAAUUUAGUUGAAUUAGCACCCGUGAUUGAUUUAAUUUUGUACAGUUUCUAUAAUUAUAUACUCCUUUUCCUAUUCUCUAUUAUUUUUCGAAAACUAUAAGUACUGCUCUUCCUUUUUCACUUAGCACACCAACACACUACAAUCUUUCUGAACUCUCUUUCAAUAACACUCAAUGCUCUCUCUUUCUCUAUUAUUUCUAUACAAACUCUCUCAUUCUCCUAUUGAAAAAUGAAUCGGCCAAAAGCCAAGAUUGAGUAAUCUUGGCUGUUUAUUUCUACUACAGGACUCUACUUCAUUGUUUACUUGGGUUUACCUGCUGCUUGCUUCUCUGCACACUGCUGCUCUCACUCUUUGCACAAUCUCUGCACACUUGGCUCUCCUUUGUGCACUAUUGCUCAUCGCUAAUGUUUCUAUUAUCUGCAACUGGUAUGUCACCUCUUUAAGUUACAACCUCAAAAACAAUAUGCUUCUAUUGGUUCUUCACUUCCUCCUGUUUUCUUGUGUGCUUUUACUUAUAUUUCUGCUAUCCUCAUUGAAGCUUGUACUUAUUAGUUUACCUAGCUUGACUUAGCAUGUUCAACACCCCUUCCCUAUCUCAAUGUAUGAGUUUUCAUUCCUAUGCACUACUAGCAUGUAUUCAGGCCUGCUUGGUUACUUAACAAUCUUGAAGCCUCUUCCUAAGGAUAAUUAUGUUUGGGAGUUUGGUGCAGUAAGAACUGGACUCCUUGUCUGCAGCCAUGUUUGAUUUCUUAUCUUUGAUAUGUUGUACAUGUGAAUGGUUUCUUUGCUUAUUUGUUCCCUUUCCCUUUGCC